GGGGGGGGGGGGGGGGGGGCGGAGGGGGGGGAGGGGGGGGGGGGGAGGGGGGGGGUGCUCCGCUGGCGGUGGGGGCGGGGGGGGGGGGAACACGGGGGUAACCUACCUAUAAGACUGGGAUAACUUCGGGAAACCGGAGCUAAUACCGGAUAAUAUAGUGAACCGCAUGGUUCAAUAGUGAAAGACGGUUUUGCUGUCACUUAUCGAUGGAUCCGCGCCGCAUUAGCUAGUUGGUAAGGUAACGGCUUACCAAGGCAACGAUGCGUAGCCGACCUGAGAGGGUGAUCGGCCACACUGGAACUGAGACACGGUCCAGACUCCUACGGGAGGCAGCAGUAGGGAAUCUUCCGCAAUGGGCGAAAGCCUGACGGAGCAACGCCGCGUGAGUGAUGAAGGUCUUCGGAUCGUAAAACUCUGUUAUUAGGGAAGAACAAAUGUGUAAGUAACUAUGCACGUCUUGACGGUACCUAAUCAGAAAGCCACGGCUAACUACGUG
RNAcentral lists this ribosomal RNA (496 nucleotides) under uncultured bacterium. Its description in RNAcentral is "partial 16S ribosomal RNA". It matches the Rfam family "Bacterial small subunit ribosomal RNA", at positions 38 to 507 of the family's 1533-position model. The record is from RNAcentral.